AGUGGCAGACGGGUGAGUAACGCGUGGGAACGUACCCUUUGGUUCGGGAUAACCCAGGGAAACUUGGGCUAAUACCGGAUGCUCCGGAAACGGCAAAGAUUUAUCGCCGAAGGAUCGGCCCGCGUCGGAUUAGCUAGUUGGUGGGGUAAAAGCCUACCAAGGCGACGAUCCGUAGCUGGUCUGAGAGGAUGAUCAGCCACACUGGGACUGAGACACGGCCCAGACUCCUACGGGAGGCAGCAGUGGGGAAUAUUGGACAAUGGGCGCAAGCCUGAUCCAGCCAUGCCGCGUGAGUGAAGAAGGCCUUAGGGUUGUAAAGCUCUUUCAGCGGGGACGAUAAUGACGGUACCCGCAGAAGAAGCCCCGGCUAACUUCGUGCCAGCAGCCGCGGUAAUACGAAGGGGGCUAGCGUUGUUCGGAAUUACUGGGCGUAAAGCGCGCGUAGGCGGAUAUUUAAGUCAGGGGUGAAAUCCCAGGGCUCAACCCUGGAACUGCCUUUGAUACUGGGUAUCUGGAGUUCGGGAGAGGUGAGUGGAAUUCCGAGUGUAGAGGUGAAAUUCGUAGAUAUUCGGAGGAACACCAGAAGCGAAGGCGGCUCACUGGCCCGAUACUGACGCUGAGGCGCGAAAGCGUGGGGAGCAAAC
RNAcentral lists this ribosomal RNA (644 nucleotides) under uncultured Hyphomicrobiales bacterium. RNAcentral describes it as "bacterial SSU rRNA". It matches the Rfam family "Bacterial small subunit ribosomal RNA", at positions 94 to 773 of the family's 1533-position model. The record is from RNAcentral. Lineage: Bacteria; Pseudomonadati; Pseudomonadota; Alphaproteobacteria; Hyphomicrobiales.